This 122-nucleotide non-coding RNA is filed under the name Desulforamulus ferrireducens. RNAcentral's name for it is "Desulfotomaculum ferrireducens MoCo sequence". It matches the Rfam family "Molybdenum/Tungsten riboswitch aptamer (Moco RNA motif)". Lineage: Bacteria; Bacillati; Bacillota; Clostridia; Eubacteriales; Peptococcaceae. The record is from Rfam by way of RNAcentral.
GACCUAAAAUAACUCCGAGCUUAAGAACCUUCACUAGACUCUAGUAUGGUGCUUAAGCCGAUAGGGUUAGUCCGGAAACAGACUGGCCUCCCGGUGCGGAAAGGAGAACAUAAUGGUUAAUU